CUCUCUCUCUCUCUCUCUUCUCAUAAUCUUAUCCGCUUUCACUUUUUUGACAUUAUAGAUUAGACCAGCUUUUUCAUUUUGAAAGUGAAAACUACCCAUUUGGUUUUUUUCCCCAUCUGUUAAUUAUGGCUUUCUUGGGUGUAUUACGAGUGUAAUCCGAGUUUUUUUUUUUUGGCUUAAAUGAGUUACCAAGUUUGGGUUGUUCCUGGUGAUGUGGAUUUGUAUGGGUGAUAGAUUUGUCAAGAUUGAUGGACACAAACACUGGUGUUUGGGUUCUGGUGUGGAUGAUCCUGGUGGUGCCUCCUUUUUCAAGGAUCUCUGCAAAUAUGGAAGGUGAUGCUUUGCAUAACCUCCGGACAAAUUUACAAGAUCCUAACAAUGUCCUGCAGAGCUGGGAUCCUACCCUUGUUAAUCCCUGUACAUGGUUUCAUGUUACAUGUAACUAUGAAAAUAGUGUUAUUAGAGUUGACCUUGGAAAUGCAGCACUAUCUGGCCAAUUGGUCCCACAGCUUGGCCAGCUUAAGAAUUUACAGUACUUGGAACUCUAUGGCAACAAUAUAAGUGGACCAAUUCCUAGUGAUCUUGGGAAUCUAACAAACUUGGUGAGCUUGGAUCUUUACAUGAAUGGUUUCACUGGUCCUAUUCCGGACACAUUGGGCAAACUGACGAAACUGCGUUUCCUGUAUGAAUAUACAUCCUCUAUCUUAUGCUACGCAAUUGUUUUUCUUUUGGAAUUUGUUUUAUAUUUAUUUAUUCAUAUUCAAAACACUUCAUUUAUCAAUAGAUGCAACUUACCACAAAGUUUAAUUUUGUUUAUGAAUGCGUAGCAGUAGCACCAUAAUUAUGUGGAACUUCACCCAUGAGCAACAUUAUAAAGCAAACCCCAAACUUGUUAUAUAUUGAAGGCAGGGGUGGGGUACUGGGGUUGCGGAUGGUGUUAAAGUCUGAGUCCUAUCCUUCCUCUGCAUUGAAGUUGAUAUUCUUUGCAUAUGAUGCCAUGACUAAUGAAUGAUAGAAUAUCAAGCAGCUACUGGAUUUCACUAGUUGCAGGUUUAAAUAUCUAUGAGGAUGGUAAAAAUGAAUAAUUUCUUGUUCCAGGAAGACUGUUUGAGAGUUGAUUUGGAAUAUCCACAUGGUAGGCUAGUUCCAGGCUUCCAGUAAGAAAGUUUGCUAUUCGCGUGCUGCAUCUUUAUUAGAUAUCUUUUGUAUCCUCUAGCAUCAUGAAAAAUAAAACAGUCAGUUUGAGCUUGAUAAUUUUUAAGGUGGUAAAAAAUUCCAUUUAUUAAAAUUUGAUGGGGAAUUUAUUGCAGACUUCAUUUGCUUGCAAGUAGUGGGCAAAAUAGCACAUAAAUAGUUGCAUAAGGUCUUUGAGCUGGACUGAUAUACUUUCCGAAUUGUCAUCCAAAUGAUUUUAUGAAUUGUGUUAUUAUCUGUGACAAUGGAGAUUCUUUUAGUGGUUGUUAGUCCCCCAAGGUCACAUUCAGCCAUCUGCUUUCUUAAAAUUCAAUGCACUUUUGUCUUCUCUUAUUAUCUGAAUGUGCAUGUCUGUAUUAUGUCUUCUAAUUCCAGCAGGGUUCUACAAUUAUAUUUAUAUGUGAAAAUGAUGAAUGGAACUCAACAUUGUUUUCUUGGUAUGUAUAUGUAAGGAUAGUCGACUCAACAACAAUAGCCUGUCAGGUUCAAUACCUUUGUCCUUGAUUAAUAUCACUACACUGCAAGUCUUGUAAGUGCCUAGAUAAAUUCAAAUUUCUUCUUCAUUUUCUUGAGCCAUCAGUUUUAUCUUGGCAAUAAUGAUGUGAUAUUGACCUUUUAUAAUUUUGUUGGCAGGGACUUGUCAAACAAUCGUCUAUCAGGACCUGUACCAGAUAACGGAUCUUUUUCACUAUUUACACCCAUCAGCUUUGCAAAUAACUUGGAUCUAUGUGGGCCGGUUACUGGAAAGCCUUGCCCUGGAUCUCCACCAUUUUCUCCGCCACCUCCAUUUGUUCCAACAUAUACAGCUCCUUAUCCUGGAGAAAGUAGCCCCACUGGAGCGAUUGCUGGGGGAGUGGCUGUUGGUGCUGCUUUAUUGUUUGCUGCUCCUGCUAUUUGGUUUGCGUACUGGAAGCGAAGGAAGCUACCAGAGCUUUUCUUUGAUGUACCUGGUGAGGAGGACCCUGACGUUCACUUGGGACAGCUUAAAAGGUUUUCUUUGCGAGAACUGCAGGUGGCAACUGAUAGUUUUAGCAACAAGAACAUUCUGGGCAGGGGUGGAUUUGGUAAGGUGUAUAAGGGGCGCUUGGCUGAUGGCACUUUGGUGGCUGUAAAAAGACUUAAAGAGGAGCGGACUCCAGGUGGGGAAUUGCAGUUUCAAACAGAAGUGGAAAUGAUCAGCAUGGCUGUGCAUCGAAAUCUCCUCCGACUGCGUGGUUUUUGCAUGACGCCUACUGAACGGCUGCUUGUUUAUCCAUACAUGGCUAAUGGCAGUGUCGCAUCAUGUCUCAGAGGUACUGCUUGAUUGGCUUUCGCUUGAUUUUAGUACCAUGAACUGAUUUUUUUUUUUUAAUAAAUCAAACUAAGAAAUCCAAUCAUUUUAAAAAGAACAUGGUUUGGGGGUAUACUGCUCGUCUUUGGUCAAAACAAAUACUCUAUGAGAAUUUGGCCGAAAAGAAUACCUAUUUUCAAAAUUGAUGCUUUGUGCUGUGGUUUAACAAAGGUUUUAAAUCACAGUUGUGGUACAGAGGUGUUGCAUUUAAAGUUUAGCAAUCGUGGUUAUUACUAUUAUAUGAUCCUUUUUAAACACUAGCUUGCAAGAAGAGGAGGAGGAGGAG
RNAcentral lists this unclassified non-coding RNA (2810 nucleotides) under Hevea brasiliensis (rubber tree). The record is from RNAcentral. Lineage: Eukaryota; Viridiplantae; Streptophyta; Magnoliopsida; Malpighiales; Euphorbiaceae.